UGGGGAAUAUUGGACAAUGGAGGGAACUCUGAUCCAGCAAUUCUGUGUGUGUGAAGAAGGUUUUAGGACUGUAAAACACUUUUAGUAGGGAAGAAAAAAAUGACGGUACCUACAGAAGAAGCAACGGCUAAAUACGUGCCAGCAGCCGCGGUAAUACGUAUGUUGCGAGCGUUAUCCGGAAUUAUUGGGCUUAAAGGGCAUCUAGGCGGUAAGACAAGUUGAAGGUGAAAACCUGUGGCUCAACCAUAGGCUUGCCUACAAAACUGUUGAACUAGAGUACUGGAAAGGUGGGUGGAACUACACGAGUAGAGGUGAAAUCCGUAGAUAUGUGUAGGAAUGCCGAUGAUGAAGAUAACUCACUGGACAGAAACUGACGCUGAAGUGCGAAAGCUAGGGGAGCAAACAGG
This 407-nucleotide ribosomal RNA is filed under the name Verrucomicrobiota bacterium. RNAcentral describes it as "Verrucomicrobia bacterium partial 16S ribosomal RNA". It matches the Rfam family "Bacterial small subunit ribosomal RNA", at positions 355 to 776 of the family's 1533-position model. Lineage: Bacteria; Pseudomonadati; Verrucomicrobiota. The record is from RNAcentral.